RNAcentral lists this long non-coding RNA (882 nucleotides) under Sorghum bicolor (sorghum). RNAcentral describes it as "long non-coding RNA (SBIC_LNC011324)". The record is from RNAcentral. Lineage: Eukaryota; Viridiplantae; Streptophyta; Magnoliopsida; Poales; Poaceae.
GGUCCGUUUGGAGUUUCUGGUUGCAAGUUUGAUAGUACCAGAGAAAUUUAGUACCGUAAAUCCAUUUUCAUCCAUGAACGCGGCCAAAAUCCAAUGAAAAGUAAACUUAGUGCCACAGAUACAAUUUCAUCCAUGAACGUAGCCCGGCACAAAUCCAAAGAAAAUCAAUGGCUAGGCAAUCGGACAGCAAACCGAGUAUAUUGGCAUGAACAUCAUGCAGCAAAACAAGAACAGUAGAGUACUACAAGCAAGGAGGAAAAGAAACACGCACACAAUGAACUAACAGAGUUUACUUGGGCGAGGGCGAGAGCCCUGGCGGCGGCGCCGGCGGCGCGAACUGCUGCGACGCCGCGGCGCGGCCUCGGUUCCGGCCGAGCAGGUAGCACCCGACGGCCAGGAGGAUCAGCAGGAGGAUCGCUGGGAUGGAGAUCACAACCUCGAGCAUGACUGAACCUGCUCCAGCCCCUUCUUCCUGGCGGGCGUCCUCAGCUCUUCUCCGUAAAGCUGCUAUGCUAGAAGAAACAAGGGACAACCACCGACGCGAGGAGAUAUACAGGCGGGGGCCAACCAAUCCAGAGGAGGUAGGAUCGCGACGGCCAGCUCCGCGGAUUGCUUCGGCUUCGGCACCAGCGCGAGCGAUUGUUUGACGCUUGGGAACCAAGUGACGUACAGGCCUGCACUCUGGAUUGUCUACCGAUGGUCAAGUUGUGUGGCAGAUGCUAGGAGACGCCAGGAAAGGAUCGGUGCUUCCAGGGAGGACACGGACCUUGCAACAACCUGACGUCAAACCACUAACCAGUACACGAUUUCACCGUUUCCUGUUCUGGAUUCAGAACGCAAGACUUUGGAGGAUAGGACCACUUUUUAGGUUUUACAACUCCA